CGGUGUCUGUCAUGUCUGCGCAGUAGGCUUCCACAUUCACUCGUCACUCGCAGAAUCACGCAGAGCAACUUCCAGUCCUGCAUGUUUCAUUCAUGGAGCAGACACUGAAAUUGUCAUGAGAGCAGAAUACUUUAAGACAGAGGUGCUACACAUUUGGAUUUUGGACUGAAAAGACUACUAAAGGCAAUGGGGCUUUAAAGAACCUCUGCUAUCAAGAAGAGAGUUGGCUCUGAAGUCCUUUGCACAGGUUGGGGAAUUUAUUUCCCUUUGUUGUAAAGGGAAAAGCAAGAUGUUGAUCACCACGCCUGUGACUAAGUUCCUGAUAAAUCACACGCCGUUGAGUAAGA
Long non-coding RNA from Molossus molossus (Pallas's mastiff bat), 347 nucleotides. RefSeq lists it as uncharacterized. The transcript is spliced from 4 exons. The record is from RefSeq and is a predicted model, not a curated record. NCBI's taxonomy places the organism in Eukaryota, Metazoa, Chordata, Mammalia, Chiroptera, Molossidae.